AGGAUGAACGCUGGCGGCGUGCUUAACACAUGCAAGUCGAACGAUGAAGCGGAGCUUGCUCUGUGGAUUAGUGGCGAACGGGUGAGUAACACGUGAGUAACCUGCCCUUGACUCUGGGAUAAGCACUGGAAACGGUGUCUAAUACCGGAUACGAGCUUCAGCCGCAUGGCUAGGAGUUGGAAAGAAUUUCGGUCAAGGAUGGACUCGCGGCCUAUCAGGUAGUUGGUGAGGUAAUGGCCCACCAAGCCUACGACGGGUAGCCGGCCUGAGAGGGUGACCGGCCACACUGGGACUGAGACACGGCCCAGACUCCUACGGGAGGCAGCAGUGGGGAAUAUUGCACAAUGGGCGCAAGCCUGAUGCAGCAACGCCGCGUGAGGGACGACGGCCUUCGGUUGUAAACCUCUUUAGUAGGAAGAAGCGAAGUGACGGUACCUGCAGAAAAGCGACCGGCUAACUACGUGCCAGCAGCCGCGGU
Molecule: ribosomal RNA, 478 nt
Filed under: uncultured bacterium
Lineage: Bacteria
Description: SSU rRNA
Rfam family: Bacterial small subunit ribosomal RNA
Source: RNAcentral